UACGUAGGGUGCAAGCGUUGUCCGGAAUUAUUGGGCGUAAAGAGCUCGUAGGCGGUCUGUCGCGUCUGCUGUGAAAACUCAGGGCUUAACCCUGAGCUUGCAGUGGGUACGGGCAGACUAGAGUGCGGUAGGGGAGACUGGAAUUCCUGGUGUAGCGGUGAAAUGCGCAGAUAUCAGGAGGAACACCGGUGGGCGAAGGCAGCUCGCUGGGACGGUACUGACGCUGGAGGCGACGAAAGCGUGGGGAGCAAACAGG
This 256-nucleotide ribosomal RNA is filed under the name uncultured bacterium. RNAcentral describes it as "partial 16S ribosomal RNA". It matches the Rfam family "Bacterial small subunit ribosomal RNA", at positions 524 to 776 of the family's 1533-position model. The record is from RNAcentral.